GUUUGAUCCUGGCUCAAAAUCAACGCUGGCGGCGUGCCUAACACAUGCAAGUCAAACGCGAAGGGGGCUUCCGCCCUGAGUAGAGUGGCGAACGGGUGAGUAACGCGUGGGUGAUCUACCUUCGAGUGGGGGAUAACGUCUCGAAAGGGACGCUAAUACCGCAUGACCUCCUGCCUUUGGACAGGCGGACAUCAAAGCCGGGGAUCCGCAAGGACCUGGUGCUUGAAAAGGACCCCGCGUCCUAUUAGCUAGUUGGUGAGGUAAUGGCUCACCAAGGCGACGAUCGGUAGCCGGCCUGAGAGGGCGGACGGCCACACUGGGACUGACACACCGCCCACACUCCUACGGGAGGCAGCAGUGGGGAAUUGUUCGCAAUGGGCGCAAGCCUGACCACCCACCGCCGCGUGGAAGAUGAAUAUUUUCGGAUCGUAAACUCCUGUCGAGCGGGACAAACACCAUGAGGGUGAAUAUCCUUUGUGGCUGACGGUACCGCUAAAGGACCCCCCGGCUAACUCCGUGCCAGCAGCCGCGGUAAUACGGGGGGGGCAAGCGUUGUUCUUAAUUACUGGGCGUAAAGGGCUCGUAGGCGGCCAACUAAGUCAGACGUGACCUCCCUCUGCUUAACCGGGGAACUGCGUCUGAUACUGGAUGGCUUGAAUCCGGGAGAGGGAUGCAUAAUUCCAUGUGUAGCGGUGAAAUGCAUA
This 704-nucleotide ribosomal RNA is filed under the name uncultured bacterium. RNAcentral describes it as "bacterial SSU rRNA". It matches the Rfam family "Bacterial small subunit ribosomal RNA", at positions 11 to 692 of the family's 1533-position model. The record is from RNAcentral.